Molecule: ribosomal RNA, 253 nt
Filed under: uncultured bacterium
Lineage: Bacteria
Description: partial 16S ribosomal RNA
Rfam family: Bacterial small subunit ribosomal RNA
Source: RNAcentral
UACGGAGGGUGCAAGCGUUAUCCGGAUUCACUGGGUUUAAAGGGUGCGUAGGUGGGUUUGUAAGUCAGUGGUGAAAUCUCCAAGCUUAACUUGGAAACUGCCGUUGAUACUAUAAAUCUUGAAUGUUGUGGAGGUGAGCGGAAUAUGUCAUGUAGCGGUGAAAUGCUUAGAUAUGGCAUAGAACACCAAUUGCGAAGGCAGCUCACUACACAAAGAUUGACACUGAGGCACGAAAGCGUGGGGAUCAAACAGG